This 253-nucleotide ribosomal RNA is filed under the name uncultured bacterium. Its description in RNAcentral is "partial 16S ribosomal RNA". It matches the Rfam family "Bacterial small subunit ribosomal RNA", at positions 524 to 776 of the family's 1533-position model. The record is from RNAcentral.
UACGUAGGGUGCAAGCGUUAAUCGGAAUUACUGGGCGUAAAGCGUGCGCAGGCGGUGAUGUAAGACAGGUGUGAAAUCCCUGGGCUUAACCUAGGAACUGCAUUUGUGACUGCAUUGCUAGAGUGUGGUAGAGGGAGAUGGAAUUCCGCAUGUAGCAGUGAAAUGCGUAGAUAUGCGGAGGAACACCAAUGGCGAAGGCAAUCUCCUGGACCUGCACUGACGCUCAUGCACGAAAGCGUGGGGAGCAAACAGG